CCUGAAGGCGCCCGAUCCCUUCCCAUCUGGGAAGCUAAGCAGG
This is a ribosomal RNA of Prolemur simus (greater bamboo lemur), 43 nucleotides long. The record is from Ensembl. NCBI's taxonomy places the organism in Eukaryota, Metazoa, Chordata, Mammalia, Primates, Lemuridae.